This is a non-coding RNA of Cordylochernes scorpioides, 72 nucleotides long. The record is from the annotation of a GenBank genome assembly. Lineage: Eukaryota; Metazoa; Arthropoda; Arachnida; Pseudoscorpiones; Chernetidae.
GUCCAGGGAUGGGAAACGAACCAACAGGUUCCGCUUACCGGGUAGAUGCCAUGUCCACUAGGCUACCCUGGA